GUGCUUGCUUCGGCAGCACAUGUACUAAAGUUGGAAUGAUACAGAGAAGAUUAGCACGGCCCCUGCGAAA
RNAcentral lists this small nuclear RNA (70 nucleotides) under Laticauda laticaudata (blue-ringed sea krait). Lineage: Eukaryota; Metazoa; Chordata; Lepidosauria; Squamata; Elapidae. The record is from RNAcentral.